This is a long non-coding RNA of Mastomys coucha (southern multimammate mouse), 508 nucleotides long. RefSeq lists it as uncharacterized. Lineage: Eukaryota; Metazoa; Chordata; Mammalia; Rodentia; Muridae. The transcript is spliced from 2 exons. The record is from RefSeq and is a predicted model, not a curated record.
UUAGGAAUAUUUUAUAAAUAUUAUAGUGACUUAUCAAUAAGAGUCCUGGAUGGGAAUAAAUGCAGGCUCCAGCACAGUGCUCUACGGACCUUUAACAGUCACAGUGUGAUGUAACAGAGUUUAUCAAGCAAGUAGCAGGGCAUCGGGGCUGCUAAGCAUCAUGUGACAUCCUGACCCAGCCUCUGCACCUCUCAUUUGACUGUCUGAAUGCCUGGAUUAUACAGUGUAGCUCAGAGUGUGGAUGAAAAGGCUUCAAGAUGAUGCUGAUGGAGUGGUACUUGAACUCCAUCUCCAUGGGCACAGGAGAUGCUCAACAGAGGGUGUUUAUAAUGCCCAUCAACCAGGCUUUCCGUUGCACCUGUUGGGGGACCAGCUGCAGAAAGCAGGUGUAUCUAGGGACCGAGAGCACUGGUGACUGUGGAGAAUGCUGAAGACCGCCAGAUGUAUUCCACAAAACAACAGGCCAACAGCUGGGCAGACAGGAAAAAUGUGGAUUUAAUUAAAAUGA